GUCACCGUCGCAUCAGCCGUACGCUCUGCGCCGUGCUUUAUGCCUCUAUAGCUGCCGCCCGCCAAGACUGAAGACGUUAACCUCCAUAGUCCAAGAUAAGCUAGACUUUCACUGACCAAAACACUCUGGCUCUAUUUUAAUAUUUUAAUAAUUAAUAAAAGAGUAUAAGCGCAAUCAAAAUAUUCAGAGGAUAAUAGUUGCUUUGUGCAGUGAGUAGCCACUAUGGCUGGCAAGUUCAGAAAUGAAGAAAAUUUUGACGAUGAAGAAAAUGAUGACGAAAUUAACGAACCUCAUGCUUACGUUUAUAUUCCUGAUAAAAAUAAAGGUUCUGGAAAUGGCGAAAGAAGGACUGUGUCAGUUUCAAAAAUCAAAAAAUUUGACUUUCAGAAAUAUUUAGAAGAUCCAAAAUUUUAUCAAGAGAAAUUACUAAGAUUACAAAAAGAGCCAGGGGUUAAGGAUAAAAAAUCUUGUUAUGUUUUGUAUGCUGCAGCAACACAUGAUUUACUACAAUCGUACCUGAAUGCUAAAAAAAGACGUUUUUAUAUACCAAACUCUAAGACAAAAGAUGUUGAGUCUGAUACCUCCGUAGAGGGAGAUGUACAAGGAAAUAAUUUGAGUGAUAUUGAUGAGAAUCAUGAAGUGUUACCAGAAUUAAACACGGCAAAACUCCAAAGAAAGGUAUUAUGUAGAAUCAAAAGAUCUGUGCAGAAAACAGGACAUGAAACUGCAAACAAAAUAAUUAGUCAAUAUUAGAAUGAAUGCGAACCAGAAGAUCCUGAUAGAGUAAUGAUUUAACUUCGAGAGUGCCUGAAACUUAUAGCCCUACGCAUAGUAUUGAACAAUCGCUGCAUGAUCUUACGGAACCACCGCCAAAGCGACCUGCAUUGAGUAACAAAAAAAAACAAGAAGCAGCAUCAACUAAUGCAGCUACCAAUGCAUAUAAAAUGCAGGGUGAUUUUUUCAAGAAUAAAUAUGCAGAAACACUCAUUGAAAACGAGAAGUUGAAAGCAAUAAUAAAUCAAUUUGUACCCAAGGAAUCAUGUCGCCCAAUAGCAAAUCAUAAUAAUCUGUCAAAAUCAGAUAAUGAAGUAUUACGUAAAACAGUGUAUGAUAAAGUAUUUGAAAUAUCAAAAACACCCACAUACGUAACUGAUCCUACACAAGCUGCAAACGUUUCGGAGCCUGCAGUAGAUGAGGAUAUAGUCGUAUUGAAGAAAGGUGUAAAAUGUAAUGCUAACGCAUACAAAGAUGCGUUUAAGACAACAAAAUGUCAGACAUUUUUUACGUUGAUUAACACUGGAAUUUACGGGACUGAAGAAUUAGCAAAAAGAUGUGUCUGUAGAAAAAAACCAGCUGAUGAAAAUAUUAGAGUCUUAUCCCCUAUUAAAAAAAGUGUUGUAGAAGAUGAAUUCUAUAAGUUUUUAGUAGCCAAAGGUUAUACACAAGCCCAAAUUGACAUACAAAUGGAAACAUGCUCAAGCUAUCAACAUAAUGCUAUAACAGCAGCCAGGAAAAAAUUAUCUAGGGCAAAACCACCUAUUAUUCCAAGUAGAACCAUUUUUCCUCCAGGAACUGAAACUGCAACCAGCAGUUUUCAAUCAUAUCAUUCACAUCCUCGUGAUCCGUUACUCAAUUCUUUUAAUGAAAAUGUAGGUGCUACUGAAAAGAGUCAGUAUGGAGGAUCAGAUGAUUAAUAGCAAAAUAUCAGGAGCAAGUCGUUCUACUGUAAACCUACAGCAUCAGCUGAAUGAGCAAGAAGAUUUUGAUUAGUUUGAAAAUGAUAGCGAGUAAUAAUGAAAAGUUUAAAAGAAUCCUAAAAUUAUUUUUGCUAAAGUUAAUUAGUAUUGAUUUUAAAUCGGUUGUAAAGAACGUUAAUAUUGUACGUUCUGAAGUCACUGAAAUUAAGUAUUUCAUUGAAUAUAUUGUGUUCCUCAUUCUUAGUAUUUUUUUUUAAUUUAUAGAACCAAAGAUUAAGACAAAGACGUUAUAGGUUAUUUUACCUAGAAAACUAGUGUUCAUAUAGAAUUGUUGGAUUAGUUCCUACAUAGAGAACGUUGGACUUCAAAAGUUGAAUCAGAAAAAAAAUGCGUGUAUCGUUUUAUUUAGUAAAUUGUUUUUUCAUUCGCAUUAUUAAUGGAAUGUUUAUUUUUUCACUGAAACGCAAGUAGUUGUUUCUAUAUAUUAUACCAAGUACGUUAUGUAUUGAAUUAAAGAAAAUAAAUAUUUUUUUUCAAU
Nasonia vitripennis (jewel wasp) is the source of this 2235-nucleotide RNA transcript. RefSeq lists it as uncharacterized. The record is from RefSeq and is a predicted model, not a curated record. The transcript is spliced from 6 exons. NCBI's taxonomy places the organism in Eukaryota, Metazoa, Arthropoda, Insecta, Hymenoptera, Pteromalidae.